This 457-nucleotide ribosomal RNA is filed under the name uncultured bacterium. RNAcentral describes it as "partial 16S ribosomal RNA". It matches the Rfam family "Bacterial small subunit ribosomal RNA", at positions 338 to 795 of the family's 1533-position model. The record is from RNAcentral.
CCUACGGGUGGCAGCAGUGAGGAAUAUUGGUCAAUGGGCGAGAGCCUGAACCAGCCAAGUCGCGUGAGGGAGUACUGCCCUAUGGGUUGUAAACCUCUUUUGUCGGGGAGCAAAAGCCGGACGUGUCCGGCUGUGAGAGUACCCGAAGAAAAAGCAUAGGCUAACUCCGUGCCAGCAGCCGCGGUAAUACGGGGGGUGCGAGCGUUAUCCGGAUUUAUUGGGGUUUAAGGGUGCUGAGGCGGAUUUUUAAGUCAGGGGAAAAAUCGUGGGGCUCAACCCCAUCCAGCCAUUGAAAAUGGGGAUCUAGGGUGUGCGAGAGGUAUGCGGAAUGCGUGGUGUAGCGGUGAAAUGCAUAGAUAUCACGCAGAACCCCGAUUGCGAAGGCAGCAUACCGGUGCACAACUGACGCUCGGGCACGAAAGCGUGGUAUCGAACAGGAUUAGAUACCCCUGUAGUC